GCUGAACUUAAGCAUAUCAAUUAAGCGGAGGAAAAGAAACCAACAGGGAUUGCCUCAGUAACGGCGAGUGAAGCGGCAACAGCUCAAAUUUGAAAUCUGGUCCUUUGGGGCCCGAGUUGUAAUUUGCAGAGGAAACUUUUUGCAAGGAGCCUUCCGAGUUCCCUGGAACGGGACGCCGCAGAGGGUAACAGCCCCGUACGGUCGGAUUCCGAGCCUCUGUAAAGUUCCUUCGACGAGUCGAGUAGUUUGGGAAUGCUGCUCUAAAUGGGAGGUAAACCCCUUCUAAAGCUAAAUACUGGCCAGAGACCGAUAGCGCACAAGUAGAGUGAUCGAAAGAUGAAAAGCACUUUGAAAAGAGAGUUAAACAGCACGUGAAAUUGUUAAAAGGGAAGCGCUUGUGACCAGACUUGUGCCCGGCGGUUCAGCCGUCCUUCUGGGCGGUGCACUCCGCCGGCUCAGGCCAGCAUCAGUUCGCGGCGGGGGAGAAAAUCAGCGGGAACGUGGCUCUUCGGAGUGUUAUAGCCCGCUGUAAUACCCUGCUGCGGACUGAGGUUCGCGCAUCUGCAUGGAUGCUGGCGUAAUGGUUAUCAGCGACCCGUCUUGAAACACGGACCAAGGAGUCGUCCUAGUAUGCGAGUGUUAGGGUGUAAAACCCUGCGCGAAAUGAAAGUGAACGGAGGUGAGAGCUUCGGCGCAUCAUCGACCGAUCCUGAUGUCUUCGGAUGGAUUUGAGUAUGAGCAUAUUGGGCCGGACCCGAAAGAAGGUGAACUAUGCUUGUAUAGGGUGAAGUCAGAGGAAACUCUGAUGGAGGCUCGCAGCGGUUCCUGACGUGCAAAUCGAUCGUCAAAUAUGAGCAUGGGGGCGAAAGACUUAUCGAACCUUCUAGUAGCUGGUUUCCGUCGAAGUUUCCCUCAGGAUAGCAGUGUUGAUCUUCAGUUUUAUGAGGUAAAGCGAAUGAUUAGGGAAUCGGGGGCGCUAUUUAGCCGUUCAUCCAUUCUCAAACUUUAAAUAUGUAAGAAGCCCUCGUUUCUUCAGUGAACGUGGGCAUUCGAAUGUGCAACACUAGUGGGCCAUUUUUGGAAAGCAGAACUUGGCGAUGCGGGAUGAACCGAUCGCGGGGAUAAGGUGCCGGAGUGGACGCUCAUCUGAUACCACAAAA
This 1160-nucleotide ribosomal RNA is filed under the name Ceriosporopsis halima. RNAcentral describes it as "LSU rRNA". It matches the Rfam family "Eukaryotic large subunit ribosomal RNA", at positions 27 to 1219 of the family's 3401-position model. The record is from RNAcentral. Lineage: Eukaryota; Fungi; Ascomycota; Sordariomycetes; Microascales; Halosphaeriaceae.